GCGGGAGUGGCGGAAUUGGCAGACGCGCCGGGUUUAGGUCCCGGUGGGAGUUUCUCCCUUGGGGGUUCAAGUCCCUCCUCCCGCA
RNAcentral lists this transfer RNA (85 nucleotides) under Candidatus Dadabacteria bacterium. RNAcentral's name for it is "tRNA-Leu". It matches the Rfam family "tRNA". From Rfam's summary of the family: Transfer RNA (tRNA) molecules are approximately 80 nucleotides in length. Their secondary structure includes four short double-helical elements and three loops (D, anti-codon, and T loops). The record is from RNAcentral. Lineage: Bacteria; Pseudomonadati; Thermodesulfobacteriota; Candidatus Dadabacteria.